This 477-nucleotide long non-coding RNA is filed under the name Homo sapiens (human). RNAcentral's name for it is "non-protein coding TMEM44-AS1:11". Lineage: Eukaryota; Metazoa; Chordata; Mammalia; Primates; Hominidae. The record is from RNAcentral.
GCUCACUGCUGCCUCAAACUCCUAGACUCAAGCAAUCCUCCUGCUUCAGCCUCCCGAGUAGCUGGGACUACAGUUUCCCCAUGUGUAUGCUGUGGUAUUGGAUCAGCAACGAGAUAAGAAGAUCUCUCCCAUUUCCAAGCGUCUAUGAUGAUUCUGAGGCACAAGGUCACAUUUGACAGUACUAGGAAACCCAGGAAACAAGAAGCAAAGAUGACAAAGGCUGUGUCUGCCUGGGCAGACGAUCUAUUUGGACAAGAUAAUAGACCCAGGCAUGGACAUGCUCUCCAAGAAAGAUGCCCUGACAGCUGCUCACACUGAAGCUGAAUCGAACAUUCCAAUCCUUAGAGGUUCCAGCGAAGAUCUUGAAGUCUCCCUGAGCCAUUGACACAAUGGCCAUGCCAUCCCAGUGAUAAAACACAAAUUGUGGCCUUGUUUUGGACAGAAAUAAAGAGCCCAGUUUGUUAGUGAUUUACUGAU